Molecule: unclassified non-coding RNA, 219 nt
Filed under: uncultured fungus
Lineage: Eukaryota; Fungi
Description: sequence contains ITS1
Source: RNAcentral
GUAUUGAUUGCGUGUGACCGCAAAAAUAACAUUCUACACUGUAUCAAGUUUUGUGUGAAAACGUGAGCCCUCCUGCAAAGGGGACCCACGCGGUGAUGCACAAGGGGUGAAAUGGAUGUGUGAGAGUGCUCGGGCGUGCACGACCUUUAAAAAGGUCAGCGACAGCCCGGGCACCUCCGUUGUAUGAUAAUGAUCCUUCCGCAGGUUCACCUACGGAAA